UAGCUACAGUAUCAGUACCGUUAGUUGGCGGACGGCGUGCGUGAGUAGGAAAUUCCCUGUGACGCAUUAAGCCUUCGUCCUUUCCGUCGCGCUACUGUGAGUGGAACAUGUCGUAUACGUCCGAAAGAAGAAACGAGGAUCAAUGGUCGGGCGACUCUAAAAAUGGUCCGAGCGAAAGCGAGCAGCCCGCCUAUGAUGGCCCUCCGGGAAUGGAUCCCGAUGGCAUUAUUGAGUCAAACUGGGAAGUCGUUGUUGAUAACUUUGAUGACAUGAAUUUAAAAGAAGAGUUAUUGCGCGGAAUAUAUGCUUAUGGAUUCGAAAAACCAUCCGCUAUCCAACAGCGUGCUAUCCUUCCUUGUGUUAAAGGUCAUGAUGUUAUUGCCCAAGCCCAGUCUGGAACUGGGAAAACGGCAACCUUUUCUAUAUCUAUUUUACAGCAAAUAGAUACCAGUAUUCGCGAAUGCCAAGCUUUGAUUUUGGCACCAACUCGAGAGCUUGCUCAACAGAUUCAGAAGGUAGUUAUUGCCCUGGGCGAUUUUAUGCAAGCGCAAUGCCAUGCCUGUAUUGGAGGAACGAAUGUACGUGAUGAUAUGCGUAAAUUGGAGCAGGGCAUUCACGUUGUUGUUGGCACUCCAGGUCGCGUCUACGACAUGAUCAGUCGACAUUCAUUGCGCGCAAACAGCAUUAAGUUGUUCGUAUUGGAUGAAGCCGACGAGAUGCUUUCCCGUGGGUUUAAAGAUCAAAUUCACGAUGUAUUCAAGCUACUCCCUACCGAAGUUCAGGUGAUACUGCUUUCGGCAACAAUGCCUGCGGAUGUGCUUGAUGUGUCAAAGUGUUUCAUGAGAAACCCAAUUCGUAUAUUGGUGAAAAAGGAAGAAUUAACACUGGAGGGUAUUAAACAAUUCUUCAUUUAUGUAGAGCGUGAAGAUUGGAAAUUGGAAACACUCUGCGAUUUGUACGAUACGUUAAGUAUUACACAGGCCGUUAUUUUCUGCAACACGCGGCGCAAGGUAGACUGGCUUACAGACAAUAUGCAUCACCGUGAUUUCACGGUAUCUGCCAUGCAUGGCGAUAUGGAACAGAAAGAGCGUGACGUCAUCAUGAGACAAUUCCGUACUGGAUCUUCCAGAGUUCUCAUUACCACUGAUUUGCUAGCUCGUGGUAUUGACGUCCAGCAAGUUUCCCUUGUCAUUAACUACGAUCUACCUUCCAACAGAGAAAACUAUAUUCACAGAAUUGGACGCGGUGGACGAUUUGGCCGUAAGGGAGUAGCUAUAAACUUUGUCACAGAGGAUGACAAGCGUACUCUAAAGGAUAUCGAGCAAUUCUAUAACACCCAUAUCGACGAGAUGCCAAUGAACGUUGCAGAUUUGAUCUAAAAAGAACAAAAUCCGACUAAUUAUUGGCUAUAAUCAAUAAUAAUUCAUUAUAAUACAAAUAAAAAGUGGCAAAAUAAGAGCUCUCAACCUUGAUCUCUCUGAUGGUGCGGUUUUGGACAGUCCACCAGCGGAGAGAUAUUUUUGGAAAUAAAGACCAAAUUUCCAAAUCAA
Molecule: unclassified non-coding RNA, 1550 nt
Filed under: Neodiprion lecontei (redheaded pine sawfly)
Lineage: Eukaryota; Metazoa; Arthropoda; Insecta; Hymenoptera; Diprionidae
Description: eukaryotic initiation factor 4A-I, transcript variant X1
Source: RNAcentral